GGCGGACGGGUGAGUAACGCGUGGGAAUCUACCUAGUAGUGGGGGACAACUUGUGGAAACGCAAGCUAAUACCGCAUACGUCCUAAGGGAGAAAGGGGGCUUCGGCUCUCGCUAUUGGAUGAGCCCGCGUUAGAUUAGCUAGUUGGUGGGGUAAAGGCCUACCAAGGCGACGAUCUAUAGCUGGUCUUAGAGGAUGAUCAGCCACACUGGGACUGAGACACGGCCCAGACUCC
This 233-nucleotide ribosomal RNA is filed under the name uncultured bacterium. RNAcentral's name for it is "partial 16S ribosomal RNA". It matches the Rfam family "Bacterial small subunit ribosomal RNA", at positions 97 to 339 of the family's 1533-position model. The record is from RNAcentral.